ACUCUGACCAGCCAUGCCGCGUGCAGGAAGACGGCCCUAUGGGUUGUAAACUGCUUUUAUACAGGAAGAAACACUCGUACGUGUACGAGCUUGACGGUACUGUAAGAAUAAGGACCGGCUAACUCCGUGCCAGCAGCCGCGGUAAUACGGAGGGUCCGAGCGUUAUCCGGAAUCAUUGGGUUUAAAGGGUCCGCAGGCGGUCAAUUAAGUCAGAGGUGAAAUCCCAUAGCUUAACUAUGGAACUGCCUUUGAUACUGGUUGACUUGAGUCAUAUGGAAGUAGAUAGAAUGUGUAGUGUAGCGGUGAAAUGCAUAGAUAUUACACAGAAUACCGAUUGCGAAGGCAGUCUACUACGUAUGUACUGACGCUGAGGGACGAAAGCGUGGGGAGCGAACAGGAUUAGAUACCCUGGUAGUCCACGCCGUAAACGAUGGAUACUAGUUGUUGGGAUUUAUCUCAGUGACUAAGCGAAAGUGAUAAGUAUCCCACCUGGGGAGUACGGUCGCAAGACUGAAACUCAAAGGAAUUGACGGGGGCCCGCACAAGCGGUGGAGCAUGUGGUUUAAUUCGAUGAUACGCGAGGAACCUUACCAGGGCUUAAAUGUAGUCUGACAGCUUUAGAGAUAGAGUUUUCUUCGGACAGAUUACAAGGUGCUGCAUGGUUGUCGUCAGCUCGUGCCGUGAGGUGUCAGGUUAAGUCCUAUAACGAGCGCAACCCCUGUUGUUAGUUGCCAGCAUGUAAAGAUGGGAACUCUAACAAGACUGCCAGUGCAAACUGUGAGGA
This 784-nucleotide ribosomal RNA is filed under the name uncultured Flavobacteriaceae bacterium. RNAcentral describes it as "bacterial SSU rRNA". It matches the Rfam family "Bacterial small subunit ribosomal RNA", at positions 380 to 1170 of the family's 1533-position model. The record is from RNAcentral. Lineage: Bacteria; Pseudomonadati; Bacteroidota; Flavobacteriia; Flavobacteriales; Flavobacteriaceae.